UAAGGAAUAUUGGUCAAUGGGCGCAAGCCUGAACCAGCCAUGCCGCGUGCAGGAAGACGGCCCUAUGGGUUGUAAACUGCUUUUGUCAGGGAAUAAACCUGUCUACGUGUAGGCAGCUGAAGGUACCUGAAGAAUAAGCAUCGGCUAACUCCGUGCCAGCAGCCGCGGUAAUACGGAGGAUGCAAGCGUUAUCCGGAUUCAUUGGGUUUAAAGGGUGCGCAGGCGGAUUGAUAAGUCAGGGGUGAAAUCCCACAGCUCAACUGUGGAACUGCCCUUGAUACUGUUAGUCUAGAGUAUAGUUGAAGUUGGCGGAAUGUGUCAUGUAGCGGUGAAAUGCUUAGAUAUGACACAGAACACCGAUCGCGAAGGCAGCUAGCUAAGCUAUAACUGACGCUCAUGC
RNAcentral lists this ribosomal RNA (400 nucleotides) under uncultured bacterium. RNAcentral describes it as "bacterial SSU rRNA". It matches the Rfam family "Bacterial small subunit ribosomal RNA", at positions 355 to 752 of the family's 1533-position model. The record is from RNAcentral.